This 259-nucleotide signal recognition particle RNA is filed under the name Pseudomonadota bacterium. RNAcentral describes it as "Proteobacteria bacterium (marine metagenome) signal recognition particle sRNA large type". It matches the Rfam family "Bacterial large signal recognition particle RNA". From Rfam's summary of the family: The signal recognition particle (SRP) is a universally conserved ribonucleoprotein involved in the co-translational targeting of proteins to membranes. Lineage: Bacteria; Pseudomonadati; Pseudomonadota. The record is from RNAcentral.
CUGUGCUAGAGGGGGAGCUAGCGGUUCCCUGUUCCCGAAAUCCGCUUAUGCGGGCUCGAUGUCCCUCGAAACCGGAGACGAGCGCGGGAAGAGCACGCUGGAUGCGGGAGCCGGGCCCCGUGCACAGAGCGCCCGUGAACCCCGCCAGGCCCGGAAGGGAGCAACGGUAAGCGGUGUCGUCUCUGGUGUUGCGGCCAGCCUGGUAAACCCCUCCAGCCGUCGCGCCUGUGCUCGGGGAAGGGGGAUGAGGGAUGCACAG